GCUUGAUGGCGUCGGGCUGGAGAACCGCAGUCCCGGCUGCGGCAGCUGGGAGAAGGCAUCCUGUGUGAGGCUCCGGUGUCCCCAGCGUGCCGGGGCCUCGGGGAGUGGGAAGUGGAGGCAGGAGCCCUCCUUACACGCCAUGAGUUUCCUGAUCGACUCCAGCAUCAUGAUUACCUCGCAGAUACUGUUUUUUUUGGAUUUGGGUGGCUUUUCUUUAUGCGCCAGUUGUUUAAGGACUAUGAGGUGAGAAUAAAUCAUUUUGUCAUACUUACACUAUAUGAAUUUAGAUUGUUUUAAAAUGGGACAAGAAAAAUGCCUCCAUUAAAGAAACAUUAUGUUCAUUUCCAAGAUAGGAAGCUUUUACCAAAUAAGUACUAUAUAACUAUUAGAUUGGAGAAUAUAAUUAGGCUUAAUUGAUUUAAAAGGGGGGAAAAAGGCGAGUCAAAUAUAGCCCAGAAGUUAGGAGCAAGGAAUGUCAUGCCUUAGUCAUAUCAGGAUAUGCACCAAUAGCAAAUAGUUAUUCUGUAGGAGAUAAUUUAAUUCAUAAUGUCUCACAAAUGUUCCCUUUCAUUUGUCUAUCUGGCCCUGAAUUGCGAGUCUUAUAUUUUAAGUUAAAACCAAAAUCCCAAGGCUGGUGUUGUUUUUAUCUUAAGCUUUGGAUUCAGAAGAUCACCACCCUAGACUCGACAUUUCCUAAUUAGUUCUCCUAAUUAGUAAUAAGAUCAGUGGUUUUAGUCUACAUUUGGGUCAUUUCUAGGAUGUUCUCCAUUAAACUUUCCCAGGGAGUUUAUUGUCUGAAAGAGCCUGGGAUUCUGGAGAUUUUCUUCUGCCCAAUACUUUAAGGCCUCCCAGGGGAGGUUCCAGAACUGAUCCAGGAUCUGCAGAGUGUUGAAGAACCCCUUUAAACAUUAACCAUUAUAUACAAAUCUGUCAGUUUUUUGUCAGUGUGCGUCAGGAAUUCUAAGUGCUACCUAUGACCGUGUCACUUCAUCUUCUUGUCCUCAAAAUUCUUCUUCCACAAGAGGAUGCUGGUAAUAGUGACUCAGGAUUCAGAAGUGCCACCUACUUUGAUCUUUUUCUUCAGCUCCAGGCAAGUUGUUGUUGUGGCCCUACUUCCAGUGACUUGAGAAUUUCCUCAAAAUAAGUUUCUGACUUGUAACCAGAAGGAGGUUAUCAGUUCAGUUUUUAAACAAGGAAAUAACUUCAAGUCUCUAUUUGGCUUUUAACAGGUAACGUCAGUAUGUUGUACAGGUGAUCUUCUCCGUGAUAUUUGCAUUUUCUUGCAUCAUGUUUGAGCUCAUCAUCUUUGAAAUCUUGGGAGUAUUGAAUUGCGGGUGAGUAAGAGUACUGAAAACUCCUCUUGACGAGUUCUGUGCUACAUUCUUUACGGUGGAAAAUCUACCUGGAUCUCAUAACUGAAAAAAAAAACAAAAAAACACUGUUAAUAGUUUAGUCUCAGUAACUACAAUGAUCACAGCAGAUAUGGGUCACAGCCACCUAAUAGCUGGUUUGACAAAGAUUAUGAGAUGCCAGGAAAAAAAAGAUCUGACCAUUAACUCUGAAGAACUCUUUGGAGUGAGGCUGUGAAGCUGCAGUCUAGGCUUCACUCCUAGAAGCUUUAUUUUCUCAGGACUGCUCACUGACUGAAUCCCAGUAACAGCCCUUCACAUUGUUCUACUGAUUGAAAAUCUCUACCUGAAAAGAUUAGAAUUCCUCAGAGCUACUUAAUGAUCUCUCUGAAGACUGAACUCCAGUUCUUACUUAACUUAGUUACUUUUACUGAUUUUACAGUCAUGGUCAAGUUUGGUUGAAUUUAAAGUGUUUCUUAAAACACUUUUUUAAAGUAACUCUUCAUUCCCCUCCAAAUAAUAGACCUGUUAGUUUAUUAGACAGCCUAUCCAAAAUAUUUCUUGCUUCUUAAUCUGCAAGCUUGAGUAUUUUUUUAGGCCAGCAUUUAUAUGUAGCGUUCAUCAACUAUGCUACGCAGACUUUUGUUGUACUUUUUUUAUCACCACCUGGAAAAACCUUUUAAAAGUAAAGUAGUCUUUCACUCUAAAGUUAGGACCCAGUGCCAAGGUGAGUUCAUUAUAGACCCCUGGUACUUGAGACUUGUAGAGAGACUGUACUCUCAAAUCCUUUGAUAAUCAGAGUUGAAAACAAAAUUUAAAAAGAAAAACUUACUGUACAAAUGGUUAAUCACAAAACAUUGAAAGGUUAAAAAAAGAGAGAGGGACCAGACACAGUGGCUCACGCCUAUAAUCCCAGCACUUUGGGAGGCUGAGGCAGGAGGAUCACUUAAGUGCAGGGAUUCAAGACCAGCCUGGGCAACGAAGUGAGAACCUGUUUCUACAAAAAAAUAAGAAAAA
Molecule: long non-coding RNA, 2366 nt
Organism: Pongo pygmaeus (Bornean orangutan)
Lineage: Eukaryota; Metazoa; Chordata; Mammalia; Primates; Hominidae
Exons: 2
Source: RefSeq, a predicted model, not a curated record